This 752-nucleotide ribosomal RNA is filed under the name uncultured archaeon. RNAcentral describes it as "bacterial SSU rRNA". It matches the Rfam family "Archaeal small subunit ribosomal RNA", at positions 102 to 859 of the family's 1478-position model. The record is from RNAcentral.
GGACAACCUACCCUAAGGAGGGGGAUAACCCCGGGAAACUGGGGAUAAUACCCCAUAGACUAGAGAAGCUGGAAUGCUCUCAAGUUCAAAGGUCCGCCGCCUUAGGAUGGGUCUGCGGUCGAUUAGGUUGUUGUUGGGGUAACGGCCCAACAAGCUUGUGAUCGAUACGGGUUGUGAGAGCAAGAGCCCGGAGAUGGAUUCUGAGACACGAAUCCAGGCCCUACGGGGCGCAGCAGGCGCGAAAACUUUACAAUGCGGGAAACCGUGAUAAGGGAACCCCGAGUGCCCGUAAAUUCGGGCUGUCCAUCAGCGUAAAUAACUGGUGAAGAAAGGGCCGGGCAAGACCGGUGCCAGCCGCCGCGGUAAUACCGGCGGCUCGAGUGGUGGCCACUAUUACUGGGCUUAAAGCGUCCGUAGCUGGGUUGUUAAGUCUCUUGGGAAAUCUACCGGCUCAACCGGUAGGCGUUCAGGAGAUACUGGCAAUCUAGGGACCGGGAGAGGUGAGAGGUACUCCAGGGGUAGGAGUGAAAUCCUGUAAUCCUUGGGGGACCACCUGUGGCGAAGGCGUCUCACUAGAACGGCUCCGACAGUGAGGGACGAAAGCUGGGGGAGCAAACCGGAUUAGAUACCCGGGUAGUCCCAGCUGUAAACGAUGCGCGUUAGGUGUAUCGGUGACCACGAGUCACCGAGGUGCCGAAGGGAAACCGUGAAACGUGCCGCCUGGGAAGUACGGUCGCAAGGCUGAAACUUAA